CUGCAGAAGAAGAGCGGGGAGAACAUCAACAACAAGAUGCAGCUGGUGAUGAAGAGCGACAAGUAAAUGCUCGGCUACAAGACCAUCCUCAAGACGCUACGCAGCUCCAAUGGUAUGGAUCUUUUUGUCACUGUUGAUUGA
Molecule: ribosomal RNA, 141 nt
Filed under: Triticum aestivum (bread wheat)
Lineage: Eukaryota; Viridiplantae; Streptophyta; Magnoliopsida; Poales; Poaceae
Description: partial small subunit ribosomal RNA
Source: RNAcentral